RNAcentral lists this long non-coding RNA (278 nucleotides) under Mytilus galloprovincialis (Mediterranean mussel). Lineage: Eukaryota; Metazoa; Mollusca; Bivalvia; Mytilida; Mytilidae. The record is from RNAcentral.
AUUCAGGAAAGGCUCUGAAUAUAUAACUAAUAAUAAUAAACAUUUUUUUAUGUAACUGGUGAGGUAUCAGUUACAACUAUACAAAAAUGUCAGAAAGAGGUAUUCUGAUUAAAUUCACUUGAAGUUAGGAUUUUCUCUUAGGUAAUUUAUUUUCUUAGUAAGAUAGCAGGACUCAGCCUUUUUAUGUAUUUUUCUGACACACCAACAUAUUAUCUCUUGAGUGUAGAGAUAAGUUAAUAAAUAUCUCUUGAGUUUAGAGAUAAGUUAAUGAAUAUCUC